UGCUACAUUUUAGGAUUUGAACCUAAGACCUUAAGCUUAUAAUGCCUUCAUCAAACCACUUGGGCAUAUAAGC
RNAcentral lists this transfer RNA (73 nucleotides) under Cajanus cajan (pigeon pea). Its description in RNAcentral is "tRNA gene-KK1_018066". Lineage: Eukaryota; Viridiplantae; Streptophyta; Magnoliopsida; Fabales; Fabaceae. The record is from RNAcentral.